GAUGAACGCUAGCGGCAGGCUUAAUACAUGCAAGUCGAGGGGCAGCGGGGUAGCAAUACCGCCGGCGACCGGCAAACGGGUGCGGAACACGUACAGAACCUUCCUUUAAGCGGGGGAGUAGCCCACUAGAAAUAGUGGAUUAAUACCCCACUAGUAAUAUUGACUGGCAUCAGUUGGUAUUUAAAGAUUUAUCACUUAAAGAUGGCUGUGCGGCUGAUUAGGUAGUUGGUGUGGGUAACGGCCCACCAAG
This 250-nucleotide ribosomal RNA is filed under the name uncultured bacterium. Its description in RNAcentral is "partial 16S ribosomal RNA". It matches the Rfam family "Bacterial small subunit ribosomal RNA", at positions 28 to 272 of the family's 1533-position model. The record is from RNAcentral.